RNAcentral lists this ribosomal RNA (414 nucleotides) under uncultured fungus. RNAcentral describes it as "SSU rRNA". It matches the Rfam family "Eukaryotic small subunit ribosomal RNA", at positions 553 to 966 of the family's 1831-position model. The record is from RNAcentral. Lineage: Eukaryota; Fungi.
UUGCAAGUCUGGUGCCAGCAGCCGCGGUAAUUCCAGCUCCAAGAGCGUAUAUUAAAGUUGUUGCAGUUAAAAAGCUCGUAGUUGAACUUUGGGCUUGGCUGGCCGGUCCGUUUUUUAACGAGUACUGGUUUUCAGCCGAGCCUUUCCUCCUGGUUUCUGUGUAGUUGGGCUUGUCUCAGCUGCAUAUGAUCCAGGACUAUUACUUUGAAAAAAUUAGAGUGUUCAAAGCAGGCGUUUAGCUCGAAUAUAUUAGCAUGGAAUAAUGAAAUAGGACGUAUGGUUCUAUUUUGUUGGUUUCUAGGACCAUCGUAAUGAUUAAUAGGGACGGUCGGGGGCAUCAGUAUUCAAUUGUCAGAGGUGAAAUUCUUGGAUUUAUUGAAGACUAACUACUGCGAAAGAUUUUUGCCAAAAUUG